Long non-coding RNA from Chenopodium quinoa (quinoa), 1634 nucleotides. RefSeq lists it as uncharacterized. The record is from RefSeq and is a predicted model, not a curated record. Lineage: Eukaryota; Viridiplantae; Streptophyta; Magnoliopsida; Caryophyllales; Amaranthaceae. The transcript has 6 exons.
UCACUCCCUCUUCUCUCUCCUCCCAUCUCCUCCCCGUCAUUCACCUCUUUCUCUCAUUUCAAACUCAAGCCCUCUCAUUUCGAGGAGCAACGAGAAGAUCUCUGUUCUUUUGGUGGUUAACUUGAGCAGCGAUUGCGUUCAUCUUGAGACGAGCAACUUGACCGGCGGCUUCAUACAAGAGCUCCCAAGCGGCGUCGUUUUUGGGCGGAGGUGUAACCGGCGGUGACGGAACUCUUGUGUGCAUCUGGUGGAAUUAUGUGGAACGGGUGAAUAUUUCGCCAUGAAGGCAAUGGAUAAAAAUGCAAUGCUCAAUCAUAAUAAGGUACACAGAGCUAUUGAAGAAAGGGAAAUUCUUGACAUGUUGGACCACCCUUUUCUCCCUGCAUUAUAUGCUUCAUUUUAGACAAAAACACACGUUUGUCUGAUGACUGACUACUUCCCUGGUGGGGAGCUAUAUUUACUUCUGGAUGGACAACCAACAAAGGUCUUGAAAGAAGAUGCAGUAAGUGGAAUGCCUAUACAUUUCCACUCAAGCACCAAUGCAGACGGAACUAAUUAUGAUUGUGAAAAUCUUGGAUGGAAACGACUGCAAGAGUACACUUCUUUUCAAGGGUGGGUAGUAUUUUAGCACAGUUGCUGAGGGGAAUGUCGUCGAGGAAAAUUAUAUUCCUUUAGAUGAUCUAGAAAAAGAAGAUUAUCAUGCCAGUUCGCCUUUGCUGCACUAUAUACUUGCUUAAAGGUACAUUUGUGAAUCCUUUUGCCUUUAGGUGAAGGUUAUGCAAGAUCUUUAUGAAUUUAUAUUGCAAGGCUAGGUUUUGGGAAGUAGUUUGCAGAAGUUUAUAAUUCGAUGUUGCUCCAUAACUAAUAUUUAUUCUGUGUGUUUUCCUUUGGAACUGUGUAUUACACACAAAGAACUUUUAUGUUGCAAAUAUAAACUAGAUUUUGUGCUUUUAUUUUAUACAACAUACUAAAAUAUUUUGCUUACUGUGCCAUGAGCAACAAGUUGCCUCUUUUUAUCUAGUCAGAUUUGAAGGCGACUAGCUUCUUGGUAAGUUGAUGAUUGAAGCAUAUGGUUUUUGUUCUUUCGGAACACCCAAUCCUUUCUACUCUGCCCCUUUUUCAUCUUUAGUUUUGCAUAGAUGCUAUUUGCAUACUCCUAGAAUUUAUUUUCUUUACGACUGAUUUUCCAAAUUGUCAUGACUGAAUUUAUUAUACUUUGUAUGCUAUCUUUCAUGUUUCAGGGAGACCUCAAGUUGACAGGAAAGAAUUCGUUUGCUAAGUCAGGUAUAAACAGUUGUUUUCUCAUUUUCUAUUGCUGAAGGCUAAACCAACAAUGCUUUUUGCAGCCCGCCGAUUCUUUAUGAGGGGGACAAUAUAAAGAGGGGGACAAUAGCACCUAUAGAUUCUGAUGGUUCCCCAGUUACAUUUUCUUGGAGUGGUGAUUCUAGAAGAAAUGUUGCUACAAUAUGGUGUUGUAAAUGAUGCCGCUGCAAUUACUCCUUUUGGAUGCUGCUGUUUCUCUUUAUUUACUAUUUUUUUUACAAUAUCAUUGAGAUGUAAAAUGGGAUUUAGUGCUUGAUAAUAUGUAAAAUUGGAUUUGGUCUUUGAUAAUAUGUAAGAUUGGAGUUGAUAUA